CGCUAGAUAUAGGGUGUCUCAUGGCUCAUAACCUGAAGGUCGCAGGUUCAAAUCCUGCCCCCGCAACCA
This 69-nucleotide transfer RNA is filed under the name Terasakiella magnetica. RNAcentral describes it as "Candidatus Terasakiella magnetica Pseudo tRNA". Lineage: Bacteria; Pseudomonadati; Pseudomonadota; Alphaproteobacteria; Rhodospirillales; Terasakiellaceae. The record is from RNAcentral.